Molecule: ribosomal RNA, 243 nt
Filed under: uncultured bacterium
Lineage: Bacteria
Description: partial 16S ribosomal RNA
Rfam family: Bacterial small subunit ribosomal RNA
Source: RNAcentral
AAGGUCCGGGCGUUAUCCGGACUUAUUGGGUUUAAAGGGAGCGUAGACGGCAAGGCAAGUCUGGAGUGAAAGCCCGGGGCCCAACCCCGGGACUGCUCUGGAAACUGUGGUGCUAGAGUGCAGGAGGGGUGGGCGGAAUUCCUAGUGUAGCGGUGAAAUGCGUAGAUAUUAGGAGGAACACCAGCGGCGAAGGCGGCCCACUGGACUGCGACUGACGUUGAGGCUCGAAGGCGUGGGGAGCAA